Molecule: microRNA precursor, 147 nt
Filed under: Gossypium barbadense (sea-island cotton)
Lineage: Eukaryota; Viridiplantae; Streptophyta; Magnoliopsida; Malvales; Malvaceae
Also listed under: 1 other name
Description: MIR7502 microRNA precursor family
Rfam family: MIR7502 microRNA precursor family
Source: Rfam by way of RNAcentral
UGAUAAAAAAUUUUAAUUCACUUAUACUGUUAAAAUCAUGUGUGGUUAACAAAAUAACCAGACAAUGCUACACGGCGUGUCACGUGUACCUUAUACUGAUGUAAAUAGAUCAGUUUUUAAUAGUACUAAUAGAUGAAAUUUUUAAUA